UCUCUGUGAUGAACAAAUUAAAGAUGACGAGUCCGAUUUAAUUCCAUUCCAUUCUUGUGACGACAAAUCGAGGCAUUUGUCUGAGAGAA
This is a small nucleolar RNA of Telopea speciosissima, 89 nucleotides long. The record is from RefSeq and is a predicted model, not a curated record. Lineage: Eukaryota; Viridiplantae; Streptophyta; Magnoliopsida; Proteales; Proteaceae.